GAGGGGUUCUCCGUCGCGAAGCGCCCCGUGUGACGGCCCCGGGAGCCGGCUGCCGACUCUGAACUCACGGGGCCUCCUUCCCGCUUGUCCUUUUCCCCCGCUAGGAGACGAGGGCAGGGAAGCCCCCAAAUUUGUCCCGUCCUGUCCCCUUGGGGAAAGUGAUGCUGAGAGAGCCAGAGAGGGUAUCGCGCCGGCGGGUGGGGUGGGGUGCAACUCCAGCGACAGAAGGAACAGAAUUCACAAGAUGAAAUCCUCCCCCUGAGCGUGAUGUAUUAGGAUAUGGUGUCUUUGAGAGACUGCCUUGUCACCAGCCUAAGUCCCUACCCACCGGGCCCAUGAAUUGGUGUGGUCUUUCUCAAGGGAAAGAGAACCCAAGAGUACAACUCACAGCAUAUGCCACUUCCAGGACCAUUUUCAAGACUACCUCCAACUGCAACUAAAACACCUUAGCAGUCUACUCCCAGCUGAUACCAUCUGUUACACCAAGUUCAAAUGUCUUGCUUAGUCACCUAGACUAUGGAGUUUCCAUAAAGCCAUGGAUGUGAAUUGAGAGAGGAGCAGCAGUAAAAUGGGAAUAAACAAACAGGAAUAUCUCACUUUAUCAUGCUUCACUUUACCGUGCUUUGCAGUAAAAU
Long non-coding RNA from Odocoileus virginianus texanus, 635 nucleotides. RefSeq lists it as uncharacterized. The record is from RefSeq and is a predicted model, not a curated record. Lineage: Eukaryota; Metazoa; Chordata; Mammalia; Artiodactyla; Cervidae.